GACGAACGCUGGCGGCGUGCUUAACACACGCAAGUCGAACGAUGAAGGAGAGCUUGCUCUCCGGAUUAGUGGCGAACGGGUGAGUAACACGUGACUAACCUGCCCCUUUCUCUGGGAUAACGCUCCGAAGGGAGUGCUAAUACAGGAUACGAACUCUGAACACAUGUUCGGAGUUGGAAAGUUUUUCGGAAAGGGAUGGAGUCGCGGCCUAUCAGCUUGUUGGUGAGGUAACGUCUCACGAAGGCGACGACGGGUAGCCGGCCUGAGAGGGCGACCGGCCACACUGGGACUGAGACAGGGACCUGACUGCUACGGGAGGCAGCAGUGGGGAAUAUUUCACAAUGGGCGAAAGUCUGAUGCAGCGACGCCGCGUGAGGGAUGAAGGUCUUCGGAUUGUAAACCUCUUUCAGUAGGGACGAAGCGAAAGUGACGGUACCUAAAGAAGAAGCACCGGCUAACUACGUGCCAGCCGCCGCCGUAA
Molecule: ribosomal RNA, 481 nt
Filed under: uncultured bacterium
Lineage: Bacteria
Description: partial 16S ribosomal RNA
Rfam family: Bacterial small subunit ribosomal RNA
Source: RNAcentral